AUGAUAGCGGAUUCUACACACAAGAGACACGGACCACUCUGUGCACAACGCAUAGGCUAUUUCAAGUGGAGAGAAAAUAGAUAGUUGAAUAUACAUAUUCACGUAGCCUUUCGAAAACCGGGACAUUUAGUGUCCCGGGAGAGUGGAUAAAUUUCCCGGGACAAGUUAUUAAAAAGAAGGACAAUCCCGGUAAAACCGGGACAGGUGGCAACACUAGUCACUACAACUGGUCUGCUGACACUGCUCGAGGAAAAGGCCCCUACAAUCUUGAGAGAACAUGAAGACACAAAGACAUUGUCAAUUUCUUUGAGAAAGUUACUUGUUAAAGUGGCUGUGAGUGACCUUGUAGAAAAGCAUGGAUUCUAUCCAUCUGGUACAGAAAAGCUGGCACUGGCAAAGGAGAUUGUGUCACUGUUCCCCUCAUUAAGGAUUAAUGUCCCAUUUGGCGAAAAUGAAGGACAUGAGCAUUUUUUUGAUGGGCCAUCACACAGUGGAUUUAUAGAAAUGAGACUACGGAACAUCAGACGGAAACUUCAACAGAGCCAGCGGAUCUACAAUUUGAAACGACGUCUUCCUACAGACCAACCUUCUCUGCCGAUUACUGAUGAAACAGUGCCCACUGAGUGGUUGACCUUGAUAAAGAGGAUGCGACCCUCUC
Molecule: long non-coding RNA, 658 nt
Organism: Xyrauchen texanus (razorback sucker)
Lineage: Eukaryota; Metazoa; Chordata; Actinopteri; Cypriniformes; Catostomidae
Exons: 3
Source: RefSeq, a predicted model, not a curated record